GCCGUACAGCCUGGAGACGAGCCUCACGUCGCCGCAGACUCCCGGUGAAAGCACAACAGGACGGAAACCCAGUUCUCGAACUCGCCGGCCAGCGCAGCGGGGACCCUGUCUCGCAAGGACCUGCGUGACUGAAGCUGGCAUGGAGCUGAGAAGUUUGUGUCGUUCAAGGAUGGAUAAAACCUCCUCCGGCCACACCUCGCACGUCACUGUUGGGCCGCUUGCUAUCAAAUCAAGAGGGUCCCCAAUCACGUCAGACAGUAUGAGUGAAACCACCUUUGAUGAAAUGAUGGGAAAAUCAGAAAUAUGCUCUUCUUUUAAUAAGCAAACAUUGUUAAAGGGGCAGUAUUAUGUGUUUUUCAGUCACACUUAGUUACGUUUUACAGCACAAUGAAGUUACUAUGCUACCUUCAGUUGUUAUAAAAAUGCAUAUGACUUAAAAAUAGAGGUUCAGUGAUUG
Molecule: long non-coding RNA, 457 nt
Organism: Xiphophorus couchianus (Monterrey platyfish)
Lineage: Eukaryota; Metazoa; Chordata; Actinopteri; Cyprinodontiformes; Poeciliidae
Exons: 2
Source: RefSeq, a predicted model, not a curated record